GGGUCAAUGAUGAGAACUCAUAGGGUCUCGAAGAGCGAUGAUGACCUAAAAAUCAUGCUCAAUAGGAUUACGCUGAGGCCC
Lutra lutra (Eurasian river otter) is the source of this 81-nucleotide small nucleolar RNA. RefSeq annotates it as small nucleolar RNA SNORD115. The transcript has a single exon. NCBI's taxonomy places the organism in Eukaryota, Metazoa, Chordata, Mammalia, Carnivora, Mustelidae. The record is from RefSeq and is a predicted model, not a curated record.